This 327-nucleotide ribosomal RNA is filed under the name uncultured eukaryote. RNAcentral describes it as "partial 18S ribosomal RNA". It matches the Rfam family "Eukaryotic small subunit ribosomal RNA", at positions 1470 to 1796 of the family's 1831-position model. The record is from RNAcentral.
CCCUUAGAUGUUCUGGGCCGCACGCGCGCUACACUGAUUCAUGCAACAAGUUUUGUCCUUGGCUGAUAGGCCUGGGUAAUCUUUGAACGUGAAUCGUGAUGGGGAUAGAUGAUUGCAAUUAUUCAUCUUCAACGAGGAAUUCCUAGUAAACGCAAGUCAUCAGCUUGCAUUGAUUACGUCCCUGCCCUUUGUACACACCGCCCGUCGCACCUACCGAUUGAAUGGUCCGGUGAAAUCUUCGGAUCUGAGAGAUGUCUGAUUAAUUUCGGACGCCUUUUGGAAAAGUUGUUUAAACCUUACCAUUUAGAGGAAGGAGAAGUCGUAACA